AAGCGGCAAAAGCUCAAAUUUGAAAUCCUGCGGGAAUUGUAAUUUGAAGGUUUCGUGGUCUGAGUCGGCCGCGCCCAAGUCCAUUGGAACAUGGCGCCUGGGAGGGUGAGAGCCCCGUAUGGCGCACGCCGACUCUUUGUACACCGCGGCUCCGACGAGUCGAGUUGUUUGGGAAUGCAGCUCUAAGUGGGUGGUAAAUUCCAUCUAAAGCUAAAUAUUGGCGAGAGACCGAUAGCGAACAAGUACAGUGAUGGAAAGAUGAAAAGCACUUUGAAAAGAGAGUGAAACAGCACGUGAAAUUGUUGAAAGGGAAGGGCUUGCAAGCAGACACGGUUUUACCGGGCCAGCGUCGAAAAGGGGGGAGGAACAAGAACUCGAGAAUGUGGCGCGCACCUUCGGGCGCGCGUGUUAUAGCUCGUGUUGACGCCUCCAUCCCUUUUCGAGGCCUGCGAUUCUAGGACGCUGGCGUAAUGGUUGCAAGC
RNAcentral lists this ribosomal RNA (482 nucleotides) under Clavispora lusitaniae. Its description in RNAcentral is "partial 26S ribosomal RNA". It matches the Rfam family "Eukaryotic large subunit ribosomal RNA", at positions 96 to 645 of the family's 3401-position model. The record is from RNAcentral. Lineage: Eukaryota; Fungi; Ascomycota; Pichiomycetes; Serinales; Metschnikowiaceae.